UAAGAAUAUGCUCUUUUCUUGAAUAACCC
RNAcentral lists this small RNA (29 nucleotides) under Bombyx mori (domestic silkworm). Its description in RNAcentral is "ovarian small RNA-19129". The record is from RNAcentral. Lineage: Eukaryota; Metazoa; Arthropoda; Insecta; Lepidoptera; Bombycidae.